Molecule: long non-coding RNA, 716 nt
Organism: Colius striatus (speckled mousebird)
Lineage: Eukaryota; Metazoa; Chordata; Aves; Coliiformes; Coliidae
Exons: 2
Source: RefSeq, a predicted model, not a curated record
GCAGCGGUGCCGGGACUUGUAGUCGCCACGGCGACCUCGGGCCGUCCGGGCCCGGGCCCGGGCUGGCCCGCCGUGGCGGCCAGGACACCCGUUACACAAGGCGAUGGCUGCGCCGUUAGCCCUGGGAAAGGACAGCCGCGGAGAUGAUCGUCCCCGGGGCCACCUAAGCGCCUGUUCGGGUCACCUGCACCCACAGAGGCUGAGCCUCAGCUACCUGCACUUGCAAGGAACCCUGUACCUUCAGUACUGCCUUUGCCACUGAAGAAGAUGUCUUUUGAAGCCAGCCAACGCCAUGUAUUAAAUGUCAGUGCUGUCCCUCCAAGCCACAGCAGCCUGCCUCACUCAUUUCCUGAUUAAAAAAAAACCCAAACAACCAACAGCUUUUGAAAUUGGUUUGGUUUGGGUUUGUUUUCUUUUUCUGCAGAGGAGGAAGAGAAGGGGAAGAUUUAUGAGAGCUAUUAUGAGGAGCCUGAUUUUCAGCACUCCUAGUUUAAAAGGACUCUUUUUUUUCUUCCUAAUACCCCCUUGCUUUGCUGGACACAAAAUCACCCUGUCAGCCCCAGAUCAGGACAUUACGACGACUGUGCUAUUUUAAGCAUCAUUAAGGGGGGGAAAAAAAGAAGGCAAUUACAUUUCUGAAAUUGUAUUGUUGUUUUAAUAAGAUGUUACUAAGAAGUUGUUAAACGUUAGGGCUCUUUAAAAUACUUGUGCUUUGA